This is a non-coding RNA of Cucumis sativus (cucumber), 108 nucleotides long. NCBI's taxonomy places the organism in Eukaryota, Viridiplantae, Streptophyta, Magnoliopsida, Cucurbitales, Cucurbitaceae. The record is from Rfam.
AGUUUACUUUGAUAUUGGCCCGGUUCACUCAGAUAAAUAUGGUAUUAGAUACGUAUUCAUCAUUUACGAUAUAUUUGAUUGAGCCGUGCCAAUAUCUCAGUAUACUCU